Molecule: long non-coding RNA, 3177 nt
Filed under: Sus scrofa (pig)
Lineage: Eukaryota; Metazoa; Chordata; Mammalia; Artiodactyla; Suidae
Description: lncRNA (ENSSSCG00005008119.1)
Source: RNAcentral
UUUUUUUUUUUUUCUGUUUAAAGAGAAGUUAAUUGGUCCCAAUCCCAAACUGACUGUUGUGUAUCUAAACGUCCUGCUACGUAUAAACAACAUUUUGUCAAAAGCGAGAGUCCACGGAUGUCCGUGUAAAUAUAAACAAGAUCAAGGUCAGAACCAUUCAAGGCAGCAAACCACCACGGCUUGUCAACUCAGUUCUUUUUACAAAGUAGAGAGCUGGAAAUAUUCGUUCUUUACUUGAUGCAGAUGCAUCUGGGAAAUUGGAAUAACUAAAUAUCUUUUUUCCCAGAGACCAAGUCACCUCUUUGAUCAUCUUAGCUGUUCAUAAAAGUACAGAAACAACACAGAAAUCUCUUAAAUGUGAUACUUGUAACCAAAAGAAUUUGAAAGGAGAAGCCAUAAGUGCAAUUGUCUAUUUGGGGAGAGAAUGAAAGAAAGAAAAGAAGAAGAGUAGUGCAGAAGGAGGGUCUUGGAGAAAGAAUGGCUUUUAAACAAUACAACCAAGUCCAUCAACACAUUUUUCUUGAGCACUAAUUAAUGCAAGGUGCACUUUACACCACAAAAAUGAACAAGACUCGCCUUCAGAAAGCUCUGCCAUCACACAAUAACCUGUCUCUUUUUGCUAAAUUUUUAAGUUAUCAGUCUAUUUUCACUUCUUCUCUCUUAUCCUAGACCAUUGGCCAGAAUGCUUCACAUGUAUUCCUAGAUUUCUUAAAAGAGCUGUAACAGUUUUUAAAUGAUUCAGUUUCAUUCUGAAGAAGCCAUAUAGCCUUCCUGUGCCUCACUUUCCCAGUUGAUGAUCUAAAAAGUUCCUUCUGAGGGAAAAAAUUCUAUGAGAUUAUUUCAUUCAUGUAUUCAAUGUAUAUUUAAUGUUAACCAUCUAAUACGUGCCAGGAACUGUUUUAGGCAUUGGGAAUGCACCCAGGAACAAAACUGACAACCCCUCUUCAGGAUACUUCCAUUUUAGUAAAAAGAAAUAGACAAAACAAAUAAAUGAAGGGCAGGUGGAAUGUCAGGCUGUGACCACUUCUGUGGAUACAGCAAGAGGAGGGCAGUAGGAAGGGUACGCCUGGAAGGGUUUCAGGAGAUCAAAGAGGCUUCACAAAGAGGUGAGGAGUAGAGGGCCAGCCACCGUAGAGACUCUAAGGACAAAUUACAAAGUACUCUCCAAACUUUACCCUUGGUCUAUAUCGUACGCUUCCAACAUUGGGAUUUAGGUUUGGUAGGAAAUUAACUCAGAACAUCAAAGUAUUAAAUUGUCAGUUAAAAAGUAGCUACUUCCUGAAAUUUAACCUUUCUGUUUCCCUGAACCUCAUUAAGUAACACUGGAAAUUUUCAGGAUGUAUGAUAAAAAUGAUCAUGACUCACUUAGGAGAUGUGCAUAGCCCUGCCAAAGGCAGUGGUCAAGCUUCGGGGAACCAGGGCCAAGGCCAUGACACUGUCUUAUCAAGUGGCUCCUGCUUCUUUAAGGUCCCCCUAUUCCAGACUCAGUAGCUAAGAUGGCACAACACCAUAUGUAAUUCCCAAAAGAGAACACUUACCUGACACAUCCUUUAAGCUCAUUUUAAAUUAACUAUAGUAACAUACACUCCAAAGAACAGAAAGAGUUAUUUUCUGUGGGCUAAUAUAAUCAGAAUUUCACAAAAAGUCUUCAGAUUUCUAAUUCCAGAGAUCGACUGAGAAAAGAAAGUUCUUGUGGGAUCAUGAAACAUUUGUCCAGAAAGUAUAGCAAGAAGCAGUUGGGAGCGGGGGCAGCAGCAGUAGUUAACAGCCUGGUCAAUAACCAUUAUUUACGAAGGCGGUGUAGUUUCUUCAAACUCUGAACUCAUUUUGUAGAUUGGUAAUGAACUUCUCUAACUCAGAUUUAGGAAUUAGAGUGUCACCACAAAAGGCAGACUGUCAGGCUGCCAGAGGUCUCCCAGGGCAGCAUUUCUCUCCAUGAAUUCACCAUGUUUCUGAGGUCAUCAACCCCCACCCACUUCAGCACUGCUUGGACUCAAGAAUGACUCGUGCUAGUAGUGUUCCUGGAAGCUUGAGGUAUAAACCCACAUGUUUCUUAGUUUUCCAGAAGAAAGGCAGCUGCCGGGAGGCUGUGAGGUUCCUGUUUUCUGACCAGCACAUUCUUUCCUGGUAUAGCCAUGUAGUUAGGAGCUGGAAACCUGCAGUCUGACUGCAGGUGUCUUGAGAGGGAACUCAAACUCAAAUUCAAGUCCAUCCAAACUUAAGCCCAGCUGUAGUCUCAUCUUAGUGGCCCACAUGGUGGCAUGGCAUCUACAUGCAAUGGCCAUUUCAUUGGGUCAAAGAUGUGACAAGUAACAGAGCAGCAUACCACCAUGAUGUAUCUGGUACCUGGGCCUCACUGAAUUGUCUCAGAGAAGGGACUAAUGUUGAUUCAUUCAUACAUUUGACAUUGGUGGACACUGAUUUGGCGUUGAUGGGAUAAAGAGAGCAGAGUCCCUCUCGCCCUUCAGUGAUGCAAAGAUUGGAGAGGAGGUUACGACACUGCUCAGCAGUCCAUGCUAUAUUAGUAGUGGAUGGGUUGCUUGUGGGGUGCACCUUAUCUGCAUUGUCUGAUAGGGUCCCUCAACAACUGUGAGAAAGGCAUCACCAUCCCAUUUUACAGAUGAGAAGACUGAGGAUUGGGGAGGGUAAGUAACUUGCUAGUGCCCUGUGAAUAGUAAGUGGCCAGGCUGGGUGUCAAACUCAGGCCCCUGAUGCCUGGACUCGCUCCCUUGCGCCAUGCUGCCCCCAAUAGGUGGCACAAGGAAUAGCAUUUUAUAGUCACUCUUCGUCCCAAACCCCUAAUUAACUAAAUGGAUUAAAGAAGUUAAAUCUAAAGUAAAAUAAAAAUAAAAUAAAAUAAAAAAAGAGUUCCUAUCUUGGCACAGCAGAAAUGAAUCAGACUAGGAACCAUGAGGUUGUGGUUCGAUCCCUGGCCUCGCUCAGUGGGUUAGGAUCUGGCAUUGCCCUGAGCUGUGGUACAGGUCGAAGAUAUGUGGCUCAGAUCUGGUGUAGCUACAGCUUGGAUGUGACCCUUAGCCUGGGAACCUCCAUAUGCUGUGGCUGACGGCUUCUCAGGUGAGGGUGCUACUCUGAUAAAGGACUUUCUAAUCUCUAGGUCGCUUGGAGGGAGAAGGCAGGGCUGAGGUUGGAGCUGACUCUACAGGGGGAAGAAGACAC